UUGAACCACAGGGUGGAGUUGGAGACCACAGACCCAGAGAUGGAGCGAGGCACUGCGGAUGAAUGGAAACAUCCCUGAGAUGACCUUCUCCUGUCGUUGUUUGAAUGUUUUUAAAUAGGACUCUUUCAUUUUAGGACACAAAAGCCAAAGACUUUAAUUUUAUUUUUCAGCUGAAAAUGAAAAUCUAAGGGUGUCUAUAGUGUAAUAACAAUGGAUUUGUUUCUUCAUCUGCUUUCUCCCCCCCUGUACAAUCUUAAACCUGGUCAUACGAAGUGAUGAAUAACAUGUUUAAAUGAAGCAGGCGGAUGAUUUUAAACUUUCCUUUGAGGUAAAUAUCACUUGGAAGAGAACUUUAUCAAUCUCAUGCCAAUUAAGUCUUUUUGUUUAUCGUCAGGACUUUGUUUACAGGCCAAAUUUCCCUGAGUUAGAUCAAAAGAUUUUGCUUUUUGUCAAACUGCAGUGCCCACCUGACUUUUUGUUUUGUUUUUGCAAACUUGUUUUGAAAUGGCGAAUUAAGUGGCUAUGACAUUCUUAUCACAGGUACAGCACUACCUCAGAUCUUCAUAUGGGCAUGUGGCUAACCAUGUACAGCCGCCCCAUAGAAAACCCUGAGGUACUUUCUAAGCUAUUUUAAUCAUAGGAAUGUCAACUGUGCAGACUCUAUGCUGUGUUCUCAUAAAAUUUAAAAAAAAAAGGGAAAGGCUGUGUAAUUCCUUAAGAUGAUUGAUUCACACAAAAAAGGAAGAAACUUAUUUUUGCGUCAGAAUGUGAUUAAAUGGGGUCCCUUUAUACUGUGGAAAAGCUAAACCAUGCAUUAUCUACAUCUAUUUUACAACCAAAAAAGAAAAAAUGCUGAAAUAUUUUCACACUUUUAUAGCUUUGCGACCUUUAUACGAUGUUUACGGCGUUGAUGUUUGCUGCAAUGAGAGGAAUAGAGGAACACAGUAGGCCUUAUAGUGGAUAUGUAUAUGUCAGCUGACACUAUUCUCAAGGUUGUUUCUAUUACAGUUAGACUCACAAAAUACAAAACUAUAGUAGGACACGUUUUCCUUUUGUUUUCUUGGCAUUGACAGAUUUUGGUUGUUAUGCAGUACAAGCAGGGUGCGAUUUGUUGAGAGUAAAAAUGCAGGCUUAGAUUUUGUGGAAUCUGGGACACUCUUUCUUUUUUUUUUUUUUUUUUUUUUUUUUUUUAAAUAAAUCUUGAAUUGAUGGGAAAAUGUUAACAUGUUCACAAACUGCCCGAAUCAGAGAGAGCUUCACAUAUUUUCUAACUAUAGCGUACUUUUUAUCCAGCACCUUGGAGGCAGUGGGACAAUUUUUGAACUUCUGCAAAUCUCUAAGAUGAAAAUAUUGUUUGAGCUUGUUAAUGGAAGCGCAGUCUAACUGCAUUCUCUGAAAGCAGCACUCUAACCCUGGGAAUUCCACAGUGUGUGUGUGUGUGUGUGUGUGUGUGUGUGUCCCAAAUCGCACCCUGGGUAUAACCCAAGUCUUAACGGAAAAGUGGCAUAAAUGUAUCGCAGGCUUCUGGAGAGCUCGUUUUUGCUGUUAUAAUUGAUAUAUACAAAUAUGCUUGUUACUGUAUUUGAAGAUACUCCGCUAUAUCAGCCUACUUUUUUUUUUUUUUUUUUUUUUUGUACAAACCAGCCAUUAUGUUUAAAGGGUAUGGAUUUAUAUCUCCUUUUCCCUCUUUAUAUAUGGAUAAAUUAUUUAGUUGCCUGUGUUUAAGUGUAACGGUUUGUGUAAACUGUACAUAUUCAAGUUUAUUUCCAUGUAUUUGUACAGAAUGUCUUUUAAAAAAUUGUCUCC
Molecule: long non-coding RNA, 1806 nt
Organism: Astatotilapia calliptera (eastern happy)
Lineage: Eukaryota; Metazoa; Chordata; Actinopteri; Cichliformes; Cichlidae
Source: Ensembl